RNAcentral lists this ribosomal RNA (207 nucleotides) under uncultured bacterium. Its description in RNAcentral is "partial 16S ribosomal RNA". It matches the Rfam family "Bacterial small subunit ribosomal RNA", at positions 568 to 774 of the family's 1533-position model. The record is from RNAcentral.
UGCGUAGGCGGUAAGAUGCGUCUGAUGUGAAAUCCCUGGGCUUAACCUAGGAACUGCAUUGGAUACGGUCUUACUAGAGUCCGCGAGAGGAAGAUGGAAUUGUGCGUGUAGAGGUGAAAUUCGUAGAUAUGCACAAGAACACCGGUGGCGAAGGCGAUCUUCUGGAGCGGUACUGACGCUAAGGCACGAAAGCGUGGGGAGCAAACA